UACAGAGGUCUCAAGCGUUGUUCGGAUUCAUUGGGCGUCAAGGGUGCGUAGGCGGCGCGGUAAGUCGGGUGUGAAAUCUUGGAGCUUAACUCCGAAACUGCAUUCGAUACUGCCGUGCUUGAGGACUGGAGAGGAGACUGGAAUUUACGGUGUAGCGGUGAAAUGCGUAGAUAUCGUAAGGAAGACCAGUGGCGAAGGCGGGUCUCUGGACAGUUCCUGACGCUGAGGCACGAAGGCCAGGGGAGCAAACGGG
This 253-nucleotide ribosomal RNA is filed under the name uncultured bacterium. RNAcentral describes it as "partial 16S ribosomal RNA". It matches the Rfam family "Bacterial small subunit ribosomal RNA", at positions 524 to 776 of the family's 1533-position model. The record is from RNAcentral.